RNAcentral lists this long non-coding RNA (653 nucleotides) under Elaeis guineensis (African oil palm). Its description in RNAcentral is "long non-coding RNA (EGUI_LNC078856)". The record is from RNAcentral. Lineage: Eukaryota; Viridiplantae; Streptophyta; Magnoliopsida; Arecales; Arecaceae.
GGGGAGAGCUCCGUCGAACUCUGCGGUCCAGACUUCUCUGCCUACGAGCUCGGGGGGGAGUUCGGACAUGCUUGUGUCCGGAGGAAGUUCGAGAACGUGGCUGAGCUUCACUUGGCUCUUUUUCAGCUGCGGGCUUGCUGGAGUUGCCCGCCUGUCGUUCCUUCGCGGCCUCCUCCUUCAGCUUGAAGGCUCCCUCUGCCCGGGCAUAUCCUUCGGCCUGAGCCAGCAAAUCAGUGAAGUCCUUGGGAUACUUCUUGUUGCGGCCAAUCCUCUCGUCGCUCGAUCGUCGGGGUCGCACACCUGCAAGAAAAGUCCUCACUGAUCGGAGAUGCCUCCGGCAGGGAUCCUCCGACGGUCAAGUCAGAGAGGAGACUAGGUAACAGUGAAAAAUCAGGGGCUCAGCGGGGGAGAGCUAGGGAGAGCUUGAGAAAGCUUAAAAGUGCUUGAGAGUCUAAAGGCGUUUACCAAAAUUGUUGUCUUAAUUUAUUUUAUAGUAGAAGGCGGUAUGGUUUCGCCAUUAAUGAUGCAGACAACUGGGGAGUUGUCAAAUCAUCGGGAGCUGUCAAAUCGUCAUGGGUUGUCAAGUCAUUGGAAUUAAUCAAUGUCCUUGGCAGGACAAUGCCCCAAGACGGCCGUACCUUGUCUCUGGCGGG